Molecule: long non-coding RNA, 442 nt
Filed under: Medicago truncatula (barrel medic)
Lineage: Eukaryota; Viridiplantae; Streptophyta; Magnoliopsida; Fabales; Fabaceae
Description: long non-coding RNA (MTRU_LNC001540)
Source: RNAcentral
UUGUUUUGAAUAAGCUGUUUUUGAAAAAGAGAUCGUAUUAAGCUGUUUUGCAUAAAUAAGUUGUUUUGAAUAUGUUGUUUUUGAAAAAGAGGUCGUAAUAAGCUGUUUUGUAUAAAUAAGCUGUUUUGAAUAAGCUGUUUUUGAAAAAGAGAUCGUAUUAAGCUGUUUUGCGUAAAUAAGCUGUUUUUGGAAAAGAGGUCGUAAUAAGCUGUUUUGUAUAAAUAAGUUGUUUCGAAUAAGCGGUUUUUGAAAAUGAGGUCGUAAUAAGCUGUUUUAUAUAAAUAAGCAGUUUUGAAUAAGCUGUUUUUGAAAAAGAGAUCGUAUUAAGAUGUUUUGCAUAAAUAAGUUGUUUUGAAUAAGCUGUUUUUGAAAAUGAGGUCCUAUUAAGCUGUUUUGUAUAAAUAAGUUGUUUUCAAUAAGCUGUUUUUGAAAAUGAGGUCGU